CCUGUAUUCAGGUACAUAGAAAUUAGCUCAAAAUUGGGAGAAAGAGUGUAAAGAGAGAACUGGAUAGGCAGGUAUUUAAACUCUUGUCUGUGAGAAAAUAACUGGUUUGUGUUUUUCUUCUAGGGCGGCCCAGGUUCUUCCCACAGUUCUUACUCCGGUAACCAGGGAGGGUCUUCCUACUAUCCUGGUGGAUCUUAUGGACAGGGAGGGUCUUCUGUUUAUGAUGGUAGCAGUGAAUCCUAUGGUCAGGGUGGAUCUUCCGCGUAUAGUGGUGCUGAGUCCUAUGGCCAGGAUUCGCCUUCCCUAGGAGGCAGUGAAACUGCUGAGAGUGAUUCCUCCUCACCAGCUGGUAGCCGCCAGAGUGAACGGGAUUUUUAUUCCCCAGGAGGCAGCCAGUCAGGUGGACAUGGAUCAUCUUCUCAAGGUGGUGGCUACUCGAGUGGACAGGACUCGUCGUCAUCUGGAAGUAGCCAGUAUGGUGGGCAGGGUUCAUCUUCUUCAGGAGGCAGCCAGCCUGGUGGACAGGGUGCAUGUGAUUGUUCUGGGGGAAGUUCUGGUGGAUCCCCUACCUUAGUCAGAAGUGAUGCCUCUGCAAAUGACUCAUCUUCUUCUGGAGGCAGCCAGUACAGCAGCCAAGAUUCAUAUUCCUCAGGAGCUAGCCAGUAUGGAGGACAUGGGCCAUCUUCUUAUGGAGGCAGCCAAUAUGGUGGACAAGGUUCACCUUCCUCAGGAGGCAGCCAAUAUGGUGGACAGGUGAGAAUUCUUCCCUUGUGGUGCUUACUACUUCAUCAGAGACAUUCGAUAAACGUCU
This 811-nucleotide long non-coding RNA is filed under the name Manacus vitellinus (golden-collared manakin). Its description in RNAcentral is "lncRNA (ENSMVIG00005016567.1)". The record is from RNAcentral. Lineage: Eukaryota; Metazoa; Chordata; Aves; Passeriformes; Pipridae.